Molecule: ribosomal RNA, 253 nt
Filed under: uncultured bacterium
Lineage: Bacteria
Description: partial 16S ribosomal RNA
Rfam family: Bacterial small subunit ribosomal RNA
Source: RNAcentral
UACGUAGGGGGCAAGCGUUGUCCGGAAUCAUUGGGCGUAAAGAGCUUGUAGGCGGUUUGUCGCGUCUGCUGUGAAAUUUCGGGGCUCAACCCCGAACUUGCAGUGGGUACGGGCAGACUAGAGUGUGGUAGGGGAGACUGGAAUUCCUGGUGUAGCGGUGAAAUGCGCAGAUAUCAGGAGGAACACCGAUGGCGAAGGCAGGUCUCUGGGCCAUAACUGACGCUGAGAAGCGAAAGCAUGGGGAGCGAACAGG